GAAAUUUGAUGUCUGCGGUGCCCACGUUCAUCCGCCACCAGAGGAAGGGCAGGAAAUCACGUUUCCAAGCGAUCUGACAGCACCACAGAAUCUGACCAAGCCAUGACAACAUGCCAAGAAUGGACUGAAUCAGAAGACCAAGAAGGUCAGCAAGGCGGUGAGUAUGUGCUUUAUUACUGAAGCCUUUUAUAGUGUUAGUCUAGAAAAAUGUUAUUGUCAUUCUAUGUAACACUAAAAAGGGUAUAUAAUCUAAAUCACUGGUAUGACUGAGUUGCAAAAGAGAAUAAUAAUUGAAGGAGUGUGUAACUGAACCUGUAUCAUUCUAAAAGUCCAAUUUCAGAGUAAAUUAAAAAAAAAAAUUAGUUGUAUAUUUUCUUUUUUUUUCCCCCC
Molecule: long non-coding RNA, 390 nt
Filed under: Struthio camelus australis
Lineage: Eukaryota; Metazoa; Chordata; Aves; Struthioniformes; Struthionidae
Description: lncRNA (ENSSCUG00000001439.1)
Source: RNAcentral